GAUGAAGAACGCAGCGAAAUGCGAUAAGUAAUGUGAAUUGCAGAAUUCAGUGAAUCAUCGAAUCUUUGAACGCACAUUGCGCCCGCCAGUAUUCUGGCGGGCAUGCCUGUUCGAGCGUCAUUACAACCCUCAGGCCCCCGGGCCUGGCGUUGGGGAUCGGCGGAAGCCCCCUGCGGGCACAACGCCGUCCCCCAAAUACAGUGGCGGUCCCGCCGCAGCUUCCAUUGCGUAGUAGCUAACACCUCGCAACUGGAGAGCGGCGCGGCCACGCCGUAAAACACCCUACUUCUGAAUGUUGACCUCGAAUCAGGUAGGAAUACCCGCUGAACUUAAGCAUAUCAAUAAGCGGAGGA
Molecule: unclassified non-coding RNA, 353 nt
Filed under: soil metagenome
Description: partial contains 5.8S ribosomal RNA, internal transcribed spacer 2, and large subunit ribosomal RNA
Rfam family: 5.8S ribosomal RNA (bases 1-120)
Source: RNAcentral